CGAAGCGAAGCAGCGAUGUGAAGCAAAUCGCACCAAAGCCGGUCCCAGUUCGGAUAAGAGGCUGAAACUCGCCUCUUUGAAGUCGGAAUCGCUAGUAAUCGCAGAUCAGCAUGUUGCGGUGAAUACGUUUCCUGGUCUUGUACACACCGCCCGUCAAACCAUGAGAGUCGCCAACACCCGAAGUCCGCUUUGCGGCCUAAGGUGGGGAGAUGAUUGGGGUUAAGUCGUAACAAGGUAAC
RNAcentral lists this ribosomal RNA (239 nucleotides) under uncultured bacterium. RNAcentral's name for it is "partial 16S ribosomal RNA". It matches the Rfam family "Bacterial small subunit ribosomal RNA", at positions 1245 to 1500 of the family's 1533-position model. The record is from RNAcentral.